This 253-nucleotide ribosomal RNA is filed under the name uncultured bacterium. RNAcentral's name for it is "partial 16S ribosomal RNA". It matches the Rfam family "Bacterial small subunit ribosomal RNA", at positions 524 to 776 of the family's 1533-position model. The record is from RNAcentral.
UACGUAGGGUGCAAGCGUUAAUCGGAAUUACUGGGCGUAAAGCGUGCGCAGGCGGUUCUAUAAGACAGAUGUGAAAUCCCCGGGCUCAACCUGGGAACUGCAUUUGUGACUGUAGAGCUGGAGUGCGGCAGAGGGGGAUGGAAUUCCAGGUGUAGCGGUGAAAUGCGUAGAUAUCGAGAGGAACACCUGCGGCGAAGGCGGGUUGCUGGGCCGACACUGACGCUGAUGCGCGAAAGCCAGGGGAGCGAACGGG